Long non-coding RNA from Pteropus alecto (black flying fox), 1504 nucleotides. RefSeq lists it as uncharacterized. The transcript is spliced from 2 exons. The record is from RefSeq and is a predicted model, not a curated record. Lineage: Eukaryota; Metazoa; Chordata; Mammalia; Chiroptera; Pteropodidae.
CCGGGGGGCCAUCUAGCUGGAGAGAGAAGGGACAGGUGACCCGAUCCGAGCCCAGCCCCGCCCAGCCGCCUUGGCGGGGGCGAGAGAUAGCGAGGGGAGCCGAGGUUGGGCAGGGAAUCGAGGGAGAUCCCGGGCGGGAUUUGGCAAGAGGCCCGAACUGAGGAAAUCUGGUGGAUGUGGGGCUUGAAUGGAAGCUGUCUGCCGCCUGGAACCCCGAACGGGUAGGGUGAACCCUAAACUUAGACCGGGAGACAGGGAUGGGGUCUGAAGAUGGGGCAGUAGGCUUGACGCAGGGGAAAAAGAGGGGUCUUACAUGGGAAGGUGGAUCCGCGGCCCGGGGACUGGGGACCCCCGUGACAGCUGGAAGGAGAAGAGAGAGGCGUAGGGCGCGUGGAGUGACGGAGGAGGGCGGAGGGCGGUGGCGUGGCGUGCCCCAGCCUGGGCCCCUGGCCCUCCCCCAGGUGUCUGCACACACCCGCGGGCCGACCUCCCCCAGCUCCCUCUGGAAAGGGGGCGAACGAGAGACUGACCAGCCGCUGCCUCCGCCUGCAGCCCCUCGGCCUGCAGCCCCUCCACCCGCUCUUGCAGCUGCCGGACGUGCGCCUCCAGGUCGCGGUUCCUGGCCUCGGCCUCGCAGAGUUGGCUGCGGGAAGGUAAGGACCGUGAGCCCUUGCGGACGGAGAGACGGGCUGCUAAAGGGAGCGACAGGCCCCGGAGCCCGGACCCAGACCUGGCGAAGUUCUGGUUAGCGGUGCGGAUGGCCUCCAGCUCCUGGCUCAGGCUCUGUCUGGUAAGCACCUCCUCCUCCAGGGCCUCCUGGAGCUCCUGCAGGGUCACCCCCGCCUCCGCUGGCAUGGCGGCCGGAACUGCGGCCUACAUAUGGGAAUCCGGCUUACUGCUGCCUGUGGCUCCUGGAGCACUCAAGACUUGUGACCUUUGCACACCCCUCCCCUUAGAGCCUCCUGACAGUGAGGGGGACCUAAUGAGGGGGACCCUGACCAGCUCUGGCCAUCUCCAAAGGUAUGGUCUUAAGACGGUGUGGAUCCCAAGCCUGUGCCUCUAGACAUCAGCACGACCCCCUCAUACCCAGCUGCUCGGGGAGGGGGACAGACCCUGCCUACAAAUACGAAAUGGCAGUAACAGUGGAUGUCCCUUCCAACCCAGCAAUCCCCUCAGGGAACUGCAUCUCCAGGGCCUAAUAACCCUGGACUUGCGGUGGCUGUGCGUUCAGCCUGGAUUCCAGCAGAGGGGACGGGCGAGUCCCGAGCUGCCCAGGAAGGAGAGUAUACUGGGCGGGUGAGGAGCAGGUUGAAGUUCAUUCACAGUAAGAAAUGGCGUUUGCAGUACAGUGUCCGGUAACAACACAGACUGUGCACAGCGUGUCCUCCCAGCCAGGGGCCCUCACUGAUGCUGAGCUUCCUCUUUCUCAUUUAUAUUUGAUAAUUUACUUUGACGAGCAAUGUAUUAUUUGUAGAAUUCAUGUUUUUAAAAGGCUUUAUGGUUA